UACAGAGGUCCCAAGCGUUGUUCGGAAUUACUGGGCGUAAGGAGUGUGUAGGCGGUGUUCUAAGUUUGUCGUGAAAUCUCCCGGCUUAACUGGGAGGGUGCGGCGAAAACUGGAAUGCUAGAGGAUGGGAGAGGUAAGCGGAACUCCUGGUGUAGCGGUGAAAUGCGUAGAUAUCAGGAGGAACACCUGUGGUGUAGACAGCUUACUGGACCAUUUCUGACGCUGAGACACGAAAGCGUGGGUAGCAAACAGG
Molecule: ribosomal RNA, 253 nt
Filed under: uncultured bacterium
Lineage: Bacteria
Description: partial 16S ribosomal RNA
Rfam family: Bacterial small subunit ribosomal RNA
Source: RNAcentral